Molecule: long non-coding RNA, 348 nt
Organism: Tympanuchus pallidicinctus (lesser prairie-chicken)
Lineage: Eukaryota; Metazoa; Chordata; Aves; Galliformes; Phasianidae
Exons: 3
Source: RefSeq, a predicted model, not a curated record
UGUGGAAAAACCUUACUGUAGGAUGUUAUGAGAGCAGCCCUCUGCAGUUCUUCUCAGAAGUGGGGUACUCCUACGUGCUGUCCUCCCUACAGCAGAAAAAAACAGAUACUCUCCUGCAAUGGUCUCACUCUCCAUGAGGAUCAGAGCAGAAAGGACUCUCCCUGCCUCUUGCAAUGUCGGCACUAUCCUGAAGGGCUGGAUCCGACUUGCUCCACAGCAAGCUUGUGUCCUCUGGGGCAUCUUAUUCACAGUUUUCAAUGGAUAUGAACCAGCUGGUCCUUGGGACAGCCUUUCCCAGCAGUAAAAAACUGUGGAAAUGCCAGCCUCAGCUCUACUUUCUAUCAACAG